AUGGUUUGGCUUCUGGACGAUGUCUACGACGUGCAACACCGGUCCUACAUGAUGCGCGAGAAGGAUAAGAAGCUUGAACCUCUGAAGAUUCGGUAUCACGGGGUCUCUGGUCCUGCCAUGCCUUACGAUGAGCGGUACACACCGUACAUCAAGCAGGCAGGACUACUCCCGUGGAUUCUGUUGGUCAGCCGGUCCACGCCGAAUCUGAACGCUCCACUGGUGUCCGCUCUUGUUGAUCGGUGGAGGCCAGAGACCCACAGUUUCCAUCUUCGGACCGGGGAGAUGACCGUGACGCUCGAGGAUGUCUCGUUGAUCACCGUUCUUGCUAUUGACGGGAGGCCUCUAUGUAUGAGCACCGAUUCUGAUGGGUGGCGCGAGCAGAUGAUUGCUCUUAUCGGUAUGGCUCCUACCGAGGCUGAGGAUGAUGUAGAGGAGGGAGAAGAGAAGAAGAAGAGGGAAAGGAAGGCAGCUGGAGCUGCUUUCACGUGGAUUCAAAAUAACUUUGCGACGUGCCCUCCGGAUGCAACUGAUGAUGUGAUCCAGACACAUGCUCGUGUGUAUAUGUGGUACAUUGUGUCGAGGACUUUGUUUCCUGACUCCACUGGCAAGAACGCUCCAUGGAUGUGGCUGAAGGCGUUGACCGUCUUCGAUAGCAAAUGGAGCUGGGGUUCAGCGACUCUUGCCUACUUGUACCGACAGCUGGAUGAUGCGUGUUGCAGGAUCACACCUAGUGCAGGCAUUGGUGGUAAUCUGCUUCUACUUUCUGUAUGGAGCUGGGAGCGUCUGCCUGUUGGACGCCCGAAGAGCGUCAGGUUUGAUCCUUGGUAUGCAGAUGAACAUGACGAAUUACGGCGCCCCACGUGGGCUUACAAGUGGGAUAUCGUUUCCGAGAUGACGAACGAUGUCAAUCUCAUGUACCAAAAGUACAUUGCCGAGUUCGACACAAUUACGCCUGAGCAGGUGGAAUGGCAGCCAUAUGGCGCGGGUGAGAGCUUGGGGUACACCACGGACUUCCGCCUCAACCCGAUGUGCUUGCGGGAUAAGGAUCUCUGGCUUAUGCGGUGCCCAUUGAUAUGCAACUGGGCGGUUGAGUUUCAUUUGCCGCAUCGCGUGUAUCGUCAGUUUGGUCUUUUCCAGCCUCACCCGCCGGAUUGGGUGGACACGAAUAAAGCACUUCAUAGGUUGGACAGGAGAAGGCAACGGAAGAUAAAGGACUGGGCCAAGCAUCAUUCUGCGUAUGUUACCCGCUUCCAGCUUUGUGUGGAGCAAGCUCGUAGCACUGCACGCGCCCCGCUUCGUGAGCACAACUCACUUGCUUUUGAUAACUAA
This 1329-nucleotide ribosomal RNA is filed under the name Triticum aestivum (bread wheat). RNAcentral describes it as "partial small subunit ribosomal RNA". Lineage: Eukaryota; Viridiplantae; Streptophyta; Magnoliopsida; Poales; Poaceae. The record is from RNAcentral.